CCAAUAGCGUAUAUUAAAGUUGUUGCAGUUAAAAAGCUCGUAGUUGAAUUUCGGGGUCAGUAGGCUGGUCGUGCCACGGGUAUGUACUGGUCUCACUGAUUCCUCCUUCCUGAUGAACCGUAAUGCCAUUAAUUUGGUGUUGCGGGGAAACUGGACUGUUACUUUGAAAAAAUUAGAGUGUUUAAAGCAGGCUAACGCUUGAAUACAUUAGCAUGGAAUAAUGAAAUAGGACGUUCGAUCCUAUUUUGUUGGUUUCUAGGAUCGACGUAAUGGUUAAUAGGGAUAGUUGGGGGCAUUAGUAUUCAAUUGUCAGAGGUGAAAUUCUUGGAUUUAUUGAAGACUAACUACUGCGAAAGCAUUUGCCAAGGAUGUUUUCAUUAAUCAAGAACGAAAGUUAGGGGAUCGAAGACGAUCAGAUACCGUCGUAGUCUUAACCAUAAACUAUGCCGACUAGGGAUCGGAUGAUGUUAAUUUUUUAAUGACUCAUUCGGCGCCUUACG
This 500-nucleotide ribosomal RNA is filed under the name uncultured Glomeromycotina. RNAcentral describes it as "partial small subunit ribosomal RNA". It matches the Rfam family "Eukaryotic small subunit ribosomal RNA", at positions 591 to 1092 of the family's 1831-position model. The record is from RNAcentral. Lineage: Eukaryota; Fungi; Glomeromycota.